CCAGCCUGCAGGCGCCCGGCGCACACACAGGAUGGAGGCUAUUUCCUUUGUUAUGUGGAUGCGUGUGCACGGGUGCCUGUCCCAAAAUCCCACACCGUGGUCCCAAAACCUACAAUUAUUUACAGAUAAAAUUUUUACAUACUCAGCAUGCUGGUACGAAUCCACCAAGUGAUCGGUCAUAAUCUCUGUGCUUGGCCUGUGAAGCAGCACAUGCCUUCUUUUGAGCCUGGGCUGUAAUUGCAGUCAGUGGUCACCAUCUCCCACUGCUGGAAUUACCUUUGACAGUUUCCCCAUAAUUUGGCAGACAUCAGGCAGGUGGUGGCAGCUCGCUGUCUCCACUUCCCAUGAAUCCUACCUCGACUCCUGCUUCCUGUGGUGCAUAUGUCCUGAUCCCGUUCAGGUUGAAGGUGGAGGAGCCGGACAGGCAACAGUGGAUGGCUGGGGUGACCGACCGCGGCGGUGGAACUGCCUUUGGGUGUCCCGACACGGAACGACCUUCCUUGUGAGACU
Molecule: long non-coding RNA, 510 nt
Organism: Athene cunicularia (burrowing owl)
Lineage: Eukaryota; Metazoa; Chordata; Aves; Strigiformes; Strigidae
Exons: 2
Source: RefSeq, a predicted model, not a curated record